Molecule: ribosomal RNA, 825 nt
Filed under: Sorites orbiculus
Lineage: Eukaryota; Foraminifera; Miliolida; Soritidae
Description: SSU rRNA
Rfam family: Eukaryotic small subunit ribosomal RNA
Source: RNAcentral
AUAGGGCACCACAAGAACGCGUGGAGCAUGUGGCUUAAUUUGACUCAACCCGGGAAAUCUUACCAGGUCCAGACAUAUUGAGGAUUGACAGGCGAUAGUAUAUAAAAUAUAUUUUUAUAUGCAUAAAAAUGAUAGUCCUUUCAUGAUUAUAUGAUAGGUGGUGCAUGGCCGUUCUUAGUUCGUGGAGUGAUUUGUCUGCUUAAUUGCGUUUCAGUAAAUAAAAUAUAUAAUAUAUUAUAAUAUUUAGUUCUGCCAUUUAUUUAUGGAUUUAAAGUGAACAUAUUAUAUAUAUUAUUAUAUAAUAAAUGAAUGCAACGAACGUGACCGUAACCUUUUAUUGCUAUUGAAAAUUAUAAUUAUAGCAUAAAAUUAAAGGAACCGCUGUCAUUACUAAAUAUGUGUUAAAAUAGAGUAAGAUUAUGGCAAUAACAGGUCUGUGAUGCCCUCAGAUGUUCUGGGCUGCACACGUGCUACAAUAAUUACAUUAAUAAGUAUAUAUACUUUAUAAUAUAUAAUAUUAUAUUACAACCUAUUUCGAAAGUAAAUCGGUAAUCAUUUAAAAAUCGUGAUUAAUUAAUAUAAAUAUAAUUAAUUUAAGGUGGGGAUAGUGUAUUGUUAAUUAUUACACUUGGCCUUAACUAGGAAUGCCUUGUACUCUUCUUUGGUUUAACAUACCAAGAGGAAUACGUCCCUGCCCUUUGUACACACCGCCCGUCGCUCUUACCGAUGAAUUAUAUUAUAAAUCUAAGGGAUUUAUUAUAAUUAAAAUAUAAAAAACUUAUAUACAUAAUGUGAUUUAAAGGAACAGAGAAGUCGAACAAGGCA